UUCUCUUCUCCACUUCGGGACUCUCUUCUCCGGACUCCGGGAAUCUCUUCUCCACUUCUCCCUCCGUUGCUACUUGUUGGAUUCUCUGGUAUUUAUUUGUUGAUCUUGUUUGUUGUUUCUACUGUUCUCCAUGUCUUAACUCUGGAACGUUGGACACAACCAGGUUUGCCAGAUUUUCUCUACCUCCAAAGUCCAAAUUAAUUUUUUUUAUGUUCAUUUGGAAUUAAAAAUUAAAAUAGUUUGAUUACAAAUCUAUGAAACCCAAUAACUCUGCUUACAUUGUUUUUUUCCUUUAAUAUUACGACACAUUAUCAUAUCUAUUCAUCCCUUUUUUACCCAGACUAUAUAAUACCUACGAAAGCAAAUCGAUGUAUAGCAUGAUAUUGGUGAGAUGAAAAUCUUAACGAUUUAUUCUUUUUUUUUUGGUUCUUAGACAUUUUAUUCGAUUUAAUUUCAUCGCAAUUUCUUUGCAGAUAAUCAUUUUGGUUCUACUGGUGCCAUAUUGUUUAGAUUUCUUCUAUCUUAUCGCUUAUAAAUCAUUUUAUUUUCUUUAGGUAGUUCUUCCUUUUUUGCCAACUUAUGAUAUUUCUAGAAAUUGAAACCUAAGAAGAUUUGCUUUAUUUAGAAUUCGAUCAUUUGGAUUCAUGAAUGUUAUAUUGAUUAUCCUUCAUCAAUAAUGUGAACCAGUUCUAGACUUUUGGUGUACUAAAUGUACACAAUAAUUACAGUGAAUAUGCUAUUAAUUAUAUGUGUCCUCGUCGUAGGACAUUGAAGUAAUG
This 779-nucleotide long non-coding RNA is filed under the name Zostera marina. RNAcentral describes it as "long non-coding RNA (ZMAR_LNC004381)". Lineage: Eukaryota; Viridiplantae; Streptophyta; Magnoliopsida; Alismatales; Zosteraceae. The record is from RNAcentral.